CGACGAGUUUGAUCCUGGCUCAGAGUGAACGCUGGCGGCAGGCCUAACACAUGCAAGUCGAGCGGCAGCGCGUCCGACCACCCUCGGGUGGUCGGAUGGCGGCGAGCGGCGGACGGGUGAGGAAUGCAUCGGAAUCUGCCUCGUUGUGGGGGGAUAACGUAGGGAAACUUACGCUAAUACCGCAUACGACCUACGGGUGAAAGUGGGGGACCUUCGGGCCUCACGCGAUGAGAUGAGCCGAUGCCGGAUUAGCUAGUUGGCGGGGUAAAGGCCCACCAAGGCGACGAUCCGUAGCUGGUCUGAGAGGAUGAUCAGCCACACUGGAACUGAGACACGGUCCAGACUCCUACGGGAGGCAGCGGUGGGGAAUAUUGGACAAUGGGGGCAACCCUGAUCCAGCCAUGCCGCGUGUGUGAAGAAGGCCUUCGGGUUGUAAAGCACUUUUGUUGGGGAAGAAACCGGCCGGGUUAAUACCCUGGUUGAAUGACGGUACCCAAAGAAUAAGCACCGGCUAACUUCGUG
RNAcentral lists this ribosomal RNA (522 nucleotides) under uncultured bacterium. RNAcentral's name for it is "bacterial SSU rRNA". It matches the Rfam family "Bacterial small subunit ribosomal RNA", at positions 1 to 507 of the family's 1533-position model. The record is from RNAcentral.